UAUAGCAAGAUGAUCACAAUAUUUCUAUAUUAAAUUUACUGUUUGUUCAAGCAUAUUUUAUUUAAGAAAUGACAAAAUAUGAUUGAGCAACACAAAAGAAGCAGCAGCUAUAUGGCAGCACGUAGAAAGACAAUGAACGAUACAGAAAGUGAAUGUAGUCCGACAAGCACUAACACGACUUCCUCCUGAAAAGUGUGAGCGUACAAGAUGUCCAUAGACAAGCACGAGAACCAUUUUCUCAAGAGCAGCGAGAACACGUUUUUAGAACAAGAUGCUGAGCAGUAUAGCCAAUUCACGAUUUUCUCAAGAACAAAGACGGUAACCAAUAGCUCAGAGUAGAAUUAGUCGCUAAAACAAAAAGGCUGUUGAAUGUUGUAAGAUAAUAUGACGGGUUCAGUGUAAACAUUAGUUGCCAAUGUAAACAUUAGUCUAAUAGACGCAAGAUGCUGUCAUUGUAACUCACUAAUAUUCAUAGAAGAGCGCACUGGAGGAACAUUGACCUAUCCUGAUUUAGUGCUUACUGUAAAUCUACUUUAAUUUGUAUUCCAGAAGUACCAGAUUUACCUGGCGAACUGCAUGAAUUGUUCAUACUUGGUCCAUAAGAAAUGAAAUAUUUUAAAAGAAACAUUCGGAGGUUCAGCAGUGCUAAGAUCAUGUGUAGCAUGAAUACAAACGAUGCUACAACCGCUCAACUUACAUAAUUAAUAGAGUUAUUUAUAUAUUUCUUUGAAGUACCAAGAAAUGGACGUUGCAGCAAAAAUUAUCCCGUGAUUUCUUUUCAAAAACAUUAAGUGAUAGUGACUAUUAUCCACUGUAUUGUCAGCAAAGUUCUACUUAAUGAGGUUAUACUGCUACUGUGCAAGUUGGAAGCAGAAAUAUCGAGGUGGAUAGCCAACAUGUAGUUCCCUAUAAUACUUGAUUACUUCAAAAAUAUGGAACCCAUUGAAUGGUGCACAACUUGUCAAAUAUUCAUAUAAAUACUGUUCUACAGUUUCAUUGGAAAGAGAAAAAGAAUAAGUUUGUCUUGAUAUCAGUGAUGCAAAUCAGCGAGAUUAUUAAGUAUAAAAAUUGCAGGUGUCGUGAAUCAUCUAAAUACUUUUCGAAUUCCUCAUUUGGAAAAAGAAAAGAAAAACAUCCAUAGAAUAUUUUCAGACUUGCAUGCCCAAUCAACAACAAAUAUCUUUUUUAUUUUUAUCCAAACAUAGAAAUUGCUCUUCAAUAAGCUCGAUCAACUAGACUCAGCCUAUUUUGAUAAAAACGCUGAAAAUUCUGUAUUGCAACAUCCGUGAAUAUUAUACGCGGUAGUAAUCGAAUAAGACUUGGAGAAGAAAGACAAGACAAUAACAAUCUUUUUAGAAUAGAUGAAAAUUAAUGUAAGAUAAUUGAAGAGAAAUCUAGUGAAUCAUUAGCGUCUUUCCAGCAUCAACGCCGCUAAGUUUGUUGACGAUCAGCAAAUCAUCAGUAGGGUCGAGGAUGUAUAUCGAGUAUUAUUGCAGUCUAAGUUACGGAAAAGCAUUGCUAGAGUACCUGUCUUGUAAUUGGUAAUAUUUAUUCCCACUUAAAUUUGAAUUUUCUGUUAGAACAAACUAUACUGCAGUAGAUACCAUCAGAAAUACUCUCGUUAGCUUCUGGUGCAAAAUGCACUCUUGUUUAUUUAGUAGAAAGUGGGUUAUACAUCUUUAGAUUGUAUACCUGACUUCCUACUAUAAUAUUAAAGAAAUAGACGGAACGCUGAACUCCAGACUAAACAACUUAAACAACAUUUAUUUACUUGGUAAAACAUACAAAUCUUUAGUUAUACUUCUUUAGAGGUGAGAAUAACGAGCUGUCGAGUAUAAGACCGAAAGAUGUAGAGACAGCUUUAAACACACGUCCAUGCUCAAUCGCUGGCCAGCGUGAAAGAGAAUGAAUUGAGCGGGAAACGCUUGCUUUAUUAAUUCUACGCAUGCGCAGGCGUUACUACAUUUAUAUCACUAGCAGAGAGAUACAUAUCCGCCAUCUCCAGUGCCGAGACCACCAGAUCAUGUGAAUACGACCGGUCUUUUCAAAUGAUAGACGCUAGACAGCAGGGACUCCUCUCCCCGCCAGCUAAUUGCGACACCAGCUCCUGUUCUGACACUGUUUUUGUACAUAAGUCCUUGAACUGGUUAAGAGCAUUCUUGAUAUGAGAAAUAAGGGCAGCGAUGGUGACAUGAGUUUAUUGAAGUAGUUACUGAAUGCCAAGCACUUUGUCUAAGCCUUCUUUCUAAAAAACAGAAACACCCCACAAAAAUAGAACCCCCCUCCCUCAUCGACUGGAGCUGCCGACAUUUUUCUAGAUAUCAACUAGGAAAUUUUUUAAGCUGAAUAUCAUUAAUGUCAGCCUCACCAAUAAGUGGAAUCUUUCAGAAACUGGAUAUUGCUCUAUUGAAAAUAGUUCUAAAUUACACUGUGUUCAAUUGCAGCCUCAUUGCCAAUUUUUUGCAUUAAAUUGUUUUACAGUAGAAAGCACAGAUUUAGUAGAUCAAAAUCAGUGGAAAAUGUUAAAGCUUUCGCAAAAUGCAGCCAAAAUAUGGUUGAGACAUAAAGGAACAGAAGUAUGAAUAUAUGAUUGAUGCAAGCAGAAUAAAUUAUAAAGUAUCACGUUCGAUCGCCAACAUUCGAGGACAUUGUCACGUGAUAAGCAGAGGACGCUGAACAUUUGUUUGAGAGAGUUUUUAUGUUGAUUUCACCAAGAAAUGUCUUUUGCUGCUUGAUGUUAGUGUCGUUAAGACUCAUUGAUGGAUAGAAUUACUUUGAUAUAAUCUCAUAUAUUUAUUGCCAUACAUUUUUAUCUAAUCAUUAUCACCUCAUUAAAAUUUAUAUCACUUCGACGACGCCAUUGGAGCCACCUUCCAAUAGCUGUUCCACUUUUCAUUACUCAAAGAAAGUUUCUUCGUUUUCAAAUGGAUCUGCUAUCCCGACCGCAUAAAGAUACAUUUACUACAGAUACUUUUGGAACCAUGUCAUUGAGUGUUUCAGAUAAUCCUUUAGACUUCUGGGAAGAACUGAUGAUUGACAAAGUUUUCACAAACUGUGAUGAAGACUGUAGUGGCAAAGUGUCCAUUAACAAAUUGAUAAAUUAUCUUAAACAAUUAACAAGUAAUAAUUCUAUUGUGAGUAAAAUGCUUUUUCUUCAACUUUUUUAUACAGAUUAACAUUUAAGUGGUGUUAGUCUGUUGAGUGGAAAAAUAUAACUUUAUAGGACAAAUUGGCUUUCUUCAAGUCUCUCUAUCACGAACAAAGGAUGCUUGCACAAACCAUAAAACGUUUGACCACUGUGUUGUCUUUACUAGCACCAAUCAGGUUACUUGAAUAGCAACUCCAUUUUAAAUGAACUUUGGGUACUGUCUUUUCUAUUUGUAUCCAAAUUGU
This is a long non-coding RNA of Octopus bimaculoides (California two-spot octopus), 3393 nucleotides long. RefSeq lists it as uncharacterized. The record is from RefSeq and is a predicted model, not a curated record. NCBI's taxonomy places the organism in Eukaryota, Metazoa, Mollusca, Cephalopoda, Octopoda, Octopodidae.